This 867-nucleotide small RNA is filed under the name Pongo abelii (Sumatran orangutan). RNAcentral describes it as "processed transcript". Lineage: Eukaryota; Metazoa; Chordata; Mammalia; Primates; Hominidae. The record is from RNAcentral.
GAGAACUGCAGGGCCGAGCCCAGCGCACCCCGCCGCGUCCCCCGUGCCCGCCGUGCCCGCCGCGCCUGCCGCGGCCGCGGCAGCGCAGCCUCCCGCCGGUUGUAUGUUCCAGGCCUCAAUGAGGAGUCCAAGCAUGGAGCCAUUCAAGCAGCAGAAGGUGGAGGACUUUUAUGACAUUGGAGAGGAGCUGGGGAGUGGCCAGUUUGCCAUCGUGAAGAAGUGCCGGGAGAAGAGCACAGGGCUUGAGUAUGCAGCCAAGUUCAUCAAGAAGCGGCAGAGCCGGGCGAGCCGGCGCGGUGUGAGCCGGGAGGAGAUCGAGCGGGAGGUGAGCAUCCUGCGGCAGGUGCUGCACCACAACGUCAUCACGCUGCACGACGUCUACGAGAACCGCACCGACGUGGUGCUCAUCCUUGAGCUAGUGUCUGGAGGAGAGCUCUUCGAUUUCCUGGCCCAGAAGGAGUCACUGAGUGAGGAGGAGGCCACCAGCUUCAUUAAGCAGAUCCUGGAUGGGGUGAACUACCUUCACACAAAGAAAAUUGCUCACUUUGAUCUCAAGCCAGAAAACAUUAUGUUGUUAGACAAGAAUAUUCCCAUUCCACACAUCAAGCUGAUUGACUUUGGUCUGGCUCACGAAAUAGAAGAUGGAGUUGAAUUUAAGAAUAUUUUUGGGACGCCGGAAUUUGUUGCUCCAGAAAUUGUGAACUACGAACCCCUGGGUCUGGAGGCUGACAUGUGGAUUCAGAGCUCGAUGACUCCAAACACACCCUGGGCUGCUGCUGAAGAGCGGGAUGGAGAGGGGUGUGGAGCAUGAGACGGCAUCCAGGGUCUGCUGUGGAGGAGGAGCAUAGGCGUCAUCACCUACAUCCU